Molecule: non-coding RNA, 24 nt
Filed under: Cricetulus griseus (Chinese hamster)
Lineage: Eukaryota; Metazoa; Chordata; Mammalia; Rodentia; Cricetidae
Source: RNAcentral
UGGAUUAAAAGUGGCAAUUAACUG